RNAcentral lists this small RNA (28 nucleotides) under Bombyx mori (domestic silkworm). Its description in RNAcentral is "ovarian small RNA-23527". Lineage: Eukaryota; Metazoa; Arthropoda; Insecta; Lepidoptera; Bombycidae. The record is from RNAcentral.
UAUCAGUCAACUCCUCUCUCGCACGCAC